CCUCUCUCCCUGCCCUUAAAUCAGUAAUUGGUUUCAGCGCAGAGACUGUCAGGAAAUUAACACAUCACACGGUGACAGCUGUUCAUUUUUUCAGCGGCAUUCUUCGUCAUGUGAAUGGCCACUGAUUUGCCGAAGAACAUCACAAAUGAGUGGGUGCUAAUCAAGGGGCCACUCUCGAGGGCAGAGUACGGCCCCGUGCCUCCAUUCUUUCUCUGCAGCAAGUGGGUGCAACUUCGAUGAGACAUGGGCUGACUUUGUAGUAUGAUCCACUGCUGCUCAAAAUGUAUCAACUCCAACAUAAUACAUCCGCCAGGUUCCCUGCACCCAAACAAGAAGAGAAUGGUAGGAGCUGGCAAUAUGACUUGCAUAGAAAUCACACUUGUUUUUGCUUUGGUUCCUCCCGUGUUUAUUCUCCAUUGGUUAUCCUGUGUCUCCCUUGAGUGUUUGGUGAUCCAUGUCUCUUGUUGUGUUUC
This is a long non-coding RNA of Notolabrus celidotus (New Zealand spotty), 473 nucleotides long. RefSeq lists it as uncharacterized. Lineage: Eukaryota; Metazoa; Chordata; Actinopteri; Labriformes; Labridae. The transcript has 3 exons. The record is from RefSeq and is a predicted model, not a curated record.